CUGAAUGUCGCCUGUCGAGGUUCCCCGUUCCAGACAUGGCGAUGGGGCUAAGACGGGAAGCCAGUGGUGUCCCUCCGGGGCAGAGUCUGGCGCUGCCCCCGCAACUGUAAGCGGCGAGCGGCGGAUCCAUCGUGUGUCACUGAGCCUCGCAAGAGGAUCGGGAAGGCCGGAACCGUCGCAGCGACCCGUGAGCCAGGAGACCUGCCUCCGACGCGAAACGUUC
RNAcentral lists this non-coding RNA (223 nucleotides) under Aureimonas sp. AU20. RNAcentral also lists the same sequence under 1 other name. Lineage: Bacteria; Pseudomonadati; Pseudomonadota; Alphaproteobacteria; Hyphomicrobiales; Aurantimonadaceae. The record is from RNAcentral.